AGGAAAAUAGUUUAAUUGGUAGAACAUUGGUUUCCAAAACCAAAGAUUAAGGGUUCAAGUCCCUUUUUUCCUG
Molecule: transfer RNA, 73 nt
Filed under: Candidatus Pelagibacterales bacterium
Lineage: Bacteria; Pseudomonadati; Pseudomonadota; Alphaproteobacteria; Candidatus Pelagibacterales
Description: tRNA-Trp
Rfam family: tRNA
About the family: Transfer RNA (tRNA) molecules are approximately 80 nucleotides in length.
Source: RNAcentral